AGAGUUGAUCAUGGCUCAGAACGAACGCUGGUGGCGUGUCUUAUACAUGCAAGUCGAGCGAGGCAGCAAUGCCUAGCGGCGAACGGGUGAGUAACGCGUAAGCAAUCUGCCCCAUAUCAGGAAAUACCCGUGCCAACGCGCGGUUAAUGUCCAGGAGCGUGGCCUUCCGCAUGGGAGGUUGACAAGAGAUUUAUCGGUAUGGGAUGAGCUUGCGUCCGAUUAGCUAGUUGGCGGGGCAACGGCCCACCAAGGCGACGAUCGGUAGCCGGCCUGAGAGGGUGAUCGGCCACAUUGGGACUGAGAUACGGCCCAGACUCCUACGGGAGGCAGCAGUAGGGAAUAUUGCACAAUGGGGGAAACCCUGAUGCAGCAACGCCAACGUGUGGGAAGAAGCAUUUCGGUGUGUAAACCACUGUCGUGAGGGAAUAAGGCGUCUUCUCGGAGACGUUGAAUGUACCUCGAAAGGAAGCACCGGCAAACUUCGUGCCAGCCGCGGC
RNAcentral lists this ribosomal RNA (497 nucleotides) under uncultured bacterium. RNAcentral describes it as "bacterial SSU rRNA". It matches the Rfam family "Bacterial small subunit ribosomal RNA", at positions 8 to 518 of the family's 1533-position model. The record is from RNAcentral.